RNAcentral lists this ribosomal RNA (390 nucleotides) under Escherichia coli. Its description in RNAcentral is "partial 23S ribosomal RNA". It matches the Rfam family "Bacterial large subunit ribosomal RNA", at positions 614 to 1004 of the family's 2925-position model. Lineage: Bacteria; Pseudomonadati; Pseudomonadota; Gammaproteobacteria; Enterobacterales; Enterobacteriaceae. The record is from RNAcentral.
AAUGGGUCAGCGACUUAUAUUCUGUAGCAAGGUUAACCGAAUAGGGGAGCCGAAGGGAAACCGAGUCUUAACUGGGCGUUAAGUUGCAGGGUAUAGACCCGAAACCCGGUGAUCUAGCCAUGGGCAGGUUGAAGGUUGGGUAACACUAACUGGAGGACCGAACCGACUAAUGUUGAAAAAUUAGCGGAUGACUUGUGGCUGGGGGUGAAAGGCCAAUCAAACCGGGAGAUAGCUGGUUCUCCCCGAAAGCUAUUUAGGUAGCGCCUCGUGAAUUCAUCUCCGGGGGUAGAGCACUGUUUCGGCAAGGGGGUCAUCCCGACUUACCAACCCGAUGCAAACUGCGAAUACCGGAGAAUGUUAUCACGGGAGACACACGGCGGGUGCUAACGU